Molecule: ribosomal RNA, 253 nt
Filed under: uncultured bacterium
Lineage: Bacteria
Description: partial 16S ribosomal RNA
Rfam family: Bacterial small subunit ribosomal RNA
Source: RNAcentral
UACGUAGGGUGCAAGCGUUGUCCGGAAUUAUUGGGCGUAAAGAGCUCGUAGGCGGUUUGUCGCGUCUGCUGUGAAAACUCGAGGCUCAACCUCGGGCCUGCAGUGGGUACGGGCAGACUAGAGUGCGGUAGGGGAGAUUGGAAUUCCUGGUGUAGCGGUGGAAUGCGCAGAUAUCAGGAGGAACACCAAUGGCGAAGGCAGAUCUCUGGGCCGUAACUGACGCUGAGGAGCGAAAGCAUGGGGAGCGAACAGG